CCCUUAGAUGUUCUGGGCUGCACGCGCGCUACACUGAUGCGAUCAACAAGUUUUUCCUAUGUCGAUAGACACGGGUAAUCUUUUGAACUCGCAUCGUGAUGGGGAUAGAUUAUUGUAAUUAUUAAUCUUCAACGAGGAAUUCCUAGUAGGUGCAAAUCAUCAGUUUGCAUCGAUUACGUCCCUGCCCUUUGUACACACCGCCCGGCGCUGCUACCGAUUGGUUGAUCUGGUGAAUUAUUCGGACUGCCGGCUGAAGGGGUUUCCUCAUCUGCCAGCGGAAAGUCUUGUUAACCCUAUCAACUAGAGGAAGCAGAAGUCGUAACA
RNAcentral lists this ribosomal RNA (324 nucleotides) under uncultured eukaryote. RNAcentral's name for it is "partial 18S ribosomal RNA". It matches the Rfam family "Eukaryotic small subunit ribosomal RNA", at positions 1470 to 1796 of the family's 1831-position model. The record is from RNAcentral.